UUAACAUAUCCAUUGCCAAUAUGUAUAUCCUGGGGAUUGGCCCAGAGUCUCUACCAACUACCUUAAAGAGUUGACUACAUAUCUUAUGUAGCCAGCU
This 97-nucleotide non-coding RNA is filed under the name Clostridiales bacterium. RNAcentral describes it as "Guanine sequence". It matches the Rfam family "Purine riboswitch aptamer". Rfam says of the family: Riboswitches are metabolite binding domains within certain messenger RNAs that serve as precision sensors for their corresponding targets. Allosteric rearrangement of mRNA structure is mediated by ligand binding, and this results in modulation of gene expression. A class of riboswitches that selectively recognises guanine and becomes saturated at concentrations as low as 5 nM. The record is from RNAcentral. Lineage: Bacteria; Bacillati; Bacillota; Clostridia; Eubacteriales.